Long non-coding RNA from Brassica napus (rape), 894 nucleotides. RefSeq lists it as uncharacterized. The record is from RefSeq and is a predicted model, not a curated record. NCBI's taxonomy places the organism in Eukaryota, Viridiplantae, Streptophyta, Magnoliopsida, Brassicales, Brassicaceae. The transcript is spliced from 6 exons.
CCUAUUUUAAUGAAAACAGAAAACUUGUGUUACAAAAAAAAAAAAAAAAAAUGAAAACAAAAGACGUCAUCGUCUCUUCCAGACCCACGAUUUCAAUUUCAGUAAAGAUCUGAUUGUGUUCAAUCCUUUGUUCGGUGAUUAGGCUGUUGGGUUGUUCGAUCUCGAUUCAACUCUGAAGCUCUGAAGCUACAGCGUCAAUUUCUAAAGAGCAGCGGCAUCACCCACAAAGGAUCAUCGACCAGAGCAGCAGCUAAACCUCCAUAAGCAGUGUCAUAUCCAUCACAUUCCGGAUCUUAUCAGAGCCAACAGCUGGAGUUGAGUGCAAUCUCUCUGGCCACUUGGGAGGGUACGCAUCAGGGUCCGAGCUCGCUAAGGCUUUCUUCGAUCAUAGAGACAGUGCUGAGUUGCUUGGCCCUUGUUUUGUUCUGAGUUGCUUGGCCCUUGUUUUGUUCUCUUCUUAUCAGGGGGCAUAACAAUUCAAGUACAUUAUAUUUUGGUGCAAGUCUUAAGUAGAAGAACAUCAUCACUAUUAUAUAGUUUGAGCUUCUGUUGGGUCUUUGAAGCUCUGAAGCUUUUCAUCAUCAUCUCCUCGCUUCCUCCUCGUUUCCGGGAAUCUUCUCGUGACUUUGUUUCUUUGAAGGAGCCUCUUUGUUGUUUCUUGAAGAAAGACAGUGCACCCAGAAGCUGAGUAUAUGCCUUGAGUCUUGAUCAUCACAAGUUAAAGGGACCUUAUAUAAAUUUUAUUGCUGAUUAGAGUAUCCCUCUCCUGCAUAACGUUUCUGUAUUCCCUUGCUAUCGCAGAGUGCUUCAUAACAAUGCUUUAUAUGACUCAAUACCUUUGUUUUUCAAAACUGAAGCUUGAUAUUGAUGAAUAAUGAAACCUUUUUAUCGUUA